AUGAAAAGGUGCUGGUAUUCAUGUCCCGGUUGUGCCAUGAGUGAUGAAGCCCUCGGUCUCUGAACAAGGACUCCCGUGCCUUCUGUCCACACCCCUGGAAGUGUUACAGGCUGACCUGUUAACUCGAAAGCAGGCCCGCUGCAUGGAAGCUCCAGUGCGUCGUUGGGGGAUGGAUCAAAGAUAAAAACUAAACCCCCCAACAAAUGGAAGAUGUUAACAACUUGAUGAAGCAGUCUUCAUUCCAGAGAGAAGGGCACAGUUCGAUAUCCUUGAGAACCACAGAAGCUCAUCAGGAGACCACCUGAGGCCAGAUGAAAGGAGCACAGGUUCUGCACUCACCCUGAUCUUUAUCAGCAACCCCGGCCUUGAACCAUUGCUAUAAAACUCCUCACCA
This is a long non-coding RNA of Balaenoptera ricei (Rice's whale), 394 nucleotides long. RefSeq lists it as uncharacterized. The record is from RefSeq and is a predicted model, not a curated record. Lineage: Eukaryota; Metazoa; Chordata; Mammalia; Artiodactyla; Balaenopteridae. The transcript has 3 exons.